CUACGUGCCAGCAGCCGCGGUAAUACGGAAGGUCCAGGCGUUAUCCGGAUUUAUUGGGUUUAAAGGGAGCGUAGGCUGGAGAUUAAGUGUGUUGUGAAAUGUAGACGCUCAACGUCUGAAUUGCAGCGCAUACUGGUUUCCUUGAGUACGCACAACGUUGGCGGAAUUCGUCGUGUAGCGGUGAAAUGCUUAGAUAUGACGAAGAACUCCGAUUGCGAAGGCAGCUGACGGGAGCGCAACUGACGCUUAAGCUCGAAGGUGCGGGUAUCAAACAGGAUUAGAUACCCUGGUAGUCCGCACAGUAAACGAUGGAUGCCCGCUGUUGGUACCUGGUAUCAGCGGCUAAGCGAAAGCAUUAAGCAUCCCACCUGGGGAGUACGCCGGCAACGGUGAGACUCAAAGGAAUUGACGGGGGCCCGCACAAGCGGAGGAACAUGUGGUUUAAUUCGAUGAUACGCGAGGAACCUUACCCGGGCU
RNAcentral lists this ribosomal RNA (477 nucleotides) under uncultured bacterium. RNAcentral describes it as "bacterial SSU rRNA". It matches the Rfam family "Bacterial small subunit ribosomal RNA", at positions 501 to 981 of the family's 1533-position model. The record is from RNAcentral.